RNAcentral lists this ribosomal RNA (253 nucleotides) under uncultured bacterium. RNAcentral describes it as "partial 16S ribosomal RNA". It matches the Rfam family "Bacterial small subunit ribosomal RNA", at positions 524 to 776 of the family's 1533-position model. The record is from RNAcentral.
UACGGAGGGUGCAAGCGUUGUUCGGAUUUAUUGGGCGUAAAGCGCGUGUAGGCGGUUUCUUAAGUCUGAUGUGAAAGCCCUGGGCUCAACCCAGGAAGUGCAUUGGAUACUGGGAAGCUUGAAUACGGGAGAGGGUAGUGGAAUUCCUAGUGUAGGAGUGAAAUCCGUAGAUAUUAGGAGGAACACCGGUGGCGAAGGCGGCUACCUGGACCGAUAUUGACGCUGAGACGCGAAAGCGUGGGGAGCAAACAGG